This is a long non-coding RNA of Pocillopora damicornis (cauliflower coral), 283 nucleotides long. Lineage: Eukaryota; Metazoa; Cnidaria; Anthozoa; Scleractinia; Pocilloporidae. The record is from RefSeq and is a predicted model, not a curated record.
ACAUCACUUUAAUUUUUUUGUUUUAUUCCUUGUUUUUCUCCAUACCAUCCUUUGUAGCACAAAUGUUCUGUCUUCUUGACAAAAACAAUGUUCAUCCAGUUAAAAAGUUUAGAUUUGAGGUGAAAGUUGAUGACAUUGAAGAUGGCAAUGGUGCUAACAUCUUUGCAUAUGGAUUUGACUUAUCAAGAGAAAGAACAAGUGGAUGCUAUUUCCAUGAAUGGAGAGACAUUGUGGUGGCAUAGCACCUGGCCUUAAAGUUUUUCACAAAAAUGGUGUAACAGUC